This 780-nucleotide ribosomal RNA is filed under the name uncultured low-GC gram+ bacterium kpa86rc. Its description in RNAcentral is "bacterial SSU rRNA". It matches the Rfam family "Bacterial small subunit ribosomal RNA", at positions 700 to 1500 of the family's 1533-position model. Lineage: Bacteria; Bacillati; Bacillota. The record is from RNAcentral.
AGAAGAACAUCAGUGGCGAAGCGGCAUCUGACCAUACUGACGCUUAGGUGCGAAAGCGUGGGAGCAACAGAUAGAUACCUGUAGUCCACGCGUAACGAUGAGAACUAGCGUUGGACAUCUUGCAUGUUAGUGGCGCAGCUACGCGAUAAGUCUCCGCUGGGAGUACGGCCGCAAGGUUAAACUCAAAUGAAUUGACGGGGGCCCGCACAAGCGGUGGAGCAUGUGGUUUAUUCGAAGAACGCGAAGACCCUUACCAAUCUUGACAUCCUUUUGACCAUCAUUUAAUCAUGAUCUCUCUUCGGAGCAGAAGUGACAGGUGGUGCAUGGUUGUCGUCAGCUCGUGUCGUGAGAUGUUGGGUUAAGUCCCGCAACGAGCGCAACCCCUUGUCUUUAGUUGUCAUCAGGUAAUGCUGGACCCUCUAAAGAGACUGCCGGUGAUAAACCGGAGGAAGGUGGGGAUGACGUCAAAUCAUCAUGCCCCUUAUGAUUUGGGCUACACACGUGCUACAAUGGUCGGUACAACAGGCAGCGAAAGGGUAACCUGGAGCGAAUCCUCUAAAGCCGAUCUCAGUUCGGAUUGUGGGUUGCAACUCGCCCACAUGAAGUUGGAGUUGCUAGUAAUCGUGAAUCAGAAUGUCGCGGUGAAUGCGUUCCCGGGUCUUGUACACACCGCCCGUCACACCAUGGAAGUUGGGGGCGCCCGAAGCCAGUGAUCCAACCGUAAGGAGGAAGCUGUCGAAGGUGAAACCAAUGACUAGGGUGAAGUCGUAACAAGGUAGC